RNAcentral lists this ribosomal RNA (706 nucleotides) under Bacillus sp. HJ2. RNAcentral describes it as "bacterial SSU rRNA". It matches the Rfam family "Bacterial small subunit ribosomal RNA", at positions 57 to 747 of the family's 1533-position model. Lineage: Bacteria; Bacillati; Bacillota; Bacilli; Caryophanales; Bacillaceae. The record is from RNAcentral.
GCAGUCGAGCGAAUCUUAAGGUGCUUGCACCUUUUGGUUAGCGGCGGACGGGUGAGUAACACGUGGGCAACCUGCCUGUAAGACUGGGAUAACUUCGGGAAACCGGAGCUAAUACCGGAUAAUCCUUUUCCUCUCAUGAGGAAAAGCUGAAAGUCGGUUUACGCUGACACUUACAGAUGGGCCCGCGGCGCAUUAGCUAGUUGGUGAGGUAACGGCUCACCAAGGCGACGAUGCGUAGCCGACCUGAGAGGGUGAUCGGCCACACUGGGACUGAGACACGGCCCAGACUCCUACGGGAGGCAGCAGUAGGGAAUCUUCCGCAAUGGACGAAAGUCUGACGGAGCAACGCCGCGUGAGCGAUGAAGGCCUUCGGGUCGUAAAGCUCUGUUGUUAGGGAAGAACAAGUACCGGAGUAACUGCCGGUACCUUGACGGUACCUAACCAGAAAGCCACGGCUAACUACGUGCCAGCAGCCGCGGUAAUACGUAGGUGGCAAGCGUUGUCCGGAAUUAUUGGGCGUAAAGCGCGCGCAGGCGGUCCUUUAAGUCUGAUGUGAAAGCCCACGGCUCAACCGUGGAGGGUCAUUGGAAACUGGGGGACUUGAGUACAGAAGAGGAAAGCGGAAUUCCACGUGUAGCGGUGAAAUGCGUAGAGAUGUGGAGGAACACCAGUGGCGAAGGCGGCUUUCUGGUCUGUAACUGACGCU